Molecule: RNA transcript, 10539 nt
Organism: Contarinia nasturtii (swede midge)
Lineage: Eukaryota; Metazoa; Arthropoda; Insecta; Diptera; Cecidomyiidae
Gene name: nephrin-like
Exons: 22
Source: RefSeq, a predicted model, not a curated record
CUGGUGGUUAAUUUGGUUAAGUGUGUCGUUAAAAGUGACUGUAUUGGUAGUAAACGCUUCGAAGAAUAUAGAUUCAUCGAAGCGGAUAUAACUUAUAUUUCGUGUGAAAUUUAAAUGUGUUACGGUUAUCGAUGUGUUUUCAUGUGUGUCCAUCACUGUCACAUUGCAUUUAACACGGUGUAGUUUAAACAAGACAAAAGCAAUUUCAUUGGACCAUAUGAACGUGAACUUUGCGUUUGAACUGCAAAGUAGACCACACACAUAUGAUUAUACCGUGGACUGCAAUAAAUUCAACCGCAACACCGAAGCAGCGAAAAAUAUAGCUUGAAACAUAUCAAUGAAUUUGAUUUUUUCCGACGAUUCAUGACAGUAAAUAUUACUUUUCAGCUUUGCAAAUGUAAGGCUUCCAACGGCAGCAUUAAUUUUUAAUGUGACAUUCAACGUCUAAUGUUUCAAGCAAAAGUACACACACACACACACACACACAUAUAUAUAUUUAAAAUCUGUGUGAAGUAAGUGGAAAAAGACGACAGUUAUGGAAUUAAAUAGAGCCGGAAAACUUUGUAGAAAAGUGGAAUAAAAAUAAAACUCAUACACACAGCAUUUUAAACAAAACCAGAACAUAUACCCAUAAAAAGACUAACAAAAGUGAGCAAAAUAAAAUAAUCGCAUCAUAUUUCGUUUGCGGCAAUAUAUGAAUGCGACCACGUACAAACGGUGUAUUUUUCUCAUAUUAAAAAGAGAAAAAGACGAAAAAACCCAUAACAACAAUAGACUUGAAACGUAGUACCGUAUGAAAUCUAAAGAGAUCAUACAUACACACGCCGCGACUCUGUCAAACAUACACACAAAGACAAUGAUAUUAGACAGUCAUAUCACCGUCGACAACAUAAAUUGAGACAAAACCACUGCGACAGUGUGAGCAACGGCAACAGCAACAGCAACCGGCAAUCGAAAACCAAGCAUAUCUAAGUGAAUGACAGAAAGCUGCUUGAUAGAAUUGAGCAAGGAGCUUAGGACGCCAGGUGAAAAUAAGUUCAGCGAAUAGAACGUCAGCAAUCAUAAAAUAGGAUUGGAAGCUUAACCACAUACGGCUCGUGCUGCAUCAGUUAAAAUGCGAUCUGUGGACAAACGAGGAAAUUAGAACAAAAUAAAAAGAUCGAAAUCAACGCGGCAGGAAAAAAAGGCGAGAGUAAUUUACUUUUUUGCCGUGGUCAUCAAGAGUUUUUUUUUUCAUAUCGCAAUUCAAUCGUAAUUUUUCGAAAUAAUACGCGUUGGCACCAUGGUUUGUUGUUGUGACUCUUGCAUUCCGUUUUUUUGACCAUACAAACGCAUCAUAAUUUUUAUUUGCAUUUAAAGCAUUCGUUGAGCGAAACAAAAAAAUUACAGUAUUUUCCAAUUGGCACUUUUUAUAUAUGCAAUGGCUAUUUGAGGGCGAAUGGACAAUAUAACACUUACGCCAAUUCACCACAAGCAGCCGAUACAGGCAGACAAAUAAUAAUAAAAAAAACAACAUUCUCUCUCUCGACAACCCAAUGAAAUGCAAAAACGUCCGUAUCCAAUAAAAAUUUAAAUAUUUUUUACCAGUUCGCGCGCCAAUUCGAGAUCCCAUUGUAAAAGAAGCAGCGACACCAGCGAGGAAAAAAAAUCAUGAAUUAAUUACCAACAAUGAACAUCGCAACAAAAAUUUAAUCUUCUAUAAAAUUGAAAAAAAAGCGCUCGCAAAUACAUUUCGUGUGAAUGCGACACCGAAUAGUAAAAAAAACUUUUGCGAAUAUUUUAAAUUAUUCUGCAUUGUGAAAAGUGUGCAUGUAUGCAAAUAAAUCGAUACGAAUUGAACAAAUAUUCCGAUCACAAAAUAAUUCGCUUUACAAAACCAGAGUAAUUUUCACCGAAUUUAAAUAAAAACGGUGCAAUCAUAUUUUCUCAUUUGGACAGCAAGAGAUUAAAGUGCAAAAGAGUGCACAAUAUCGAACCAGAAUAAGAGUUCCAUACUAAUUUCUGAUUGAUUGCGGUAAACGCGUUGUUCUGUGACAAAUUUAAUUUCCCAAUUUGAAGCAGACUGUAGAAAAACCAAGACCAACAGAGGAAAAAAUAUAUAUACACAUUGUAUCGAUUUGCCUGAAGUGAGACUCACUCAGAGAGAGAGAGAGAGAAAGAGAAAAUAAGCCAGUAAAACCAAUUGAUUAAAUUGAGUGUUCAGUUGCGUAUGUGUGACAUUCAUUUAUCGCAUCGACACUGAUUAAUCAACUAGUAAUUUUGUUUUUGAUUUCACACACUUCUGAUCCCGACUAUCAACAAGGAACAACAGCUGCCACUAUCACCGUACAAAACACCAACAACCAUAAUACUAAUAAUAAUCUACAGCACAUUUCGCUGGGCGAAUCGCAAAAGUAAUAAAUCGUAACAUACAAUUCGGUGCGAAAUUCGAUCACGCUGCGGGCAAAUUGUGUGACAUCGUUUUCAGUCAUCCGAAAUGACCAUAAACUAUUUGCUGGACACAAUAAAUUAACGAAAAUAACAAAUUUGCGCGUAUUUAUAAAAUUUGUGCGUGCAUAAAAAUGUGUCCAUUUUUGAAUUUCGAUGCAGUAAACACAUAAACAAUAUGCAAUUCAGUGGAAAAAUGCAAAUUGGUUGACAAAAAAAAACAACAUUCGUAAAUAAUUGAGUGAAUAUAAAUAAAUGAAAAUAAACAAAUAGCGGAAACCAAUAAGUGAGCUUGGUACAGAGAAAAAAAAAAUUAAAUAUAAAAAAACAUAUGAUGCGAGACAAACGAGUGCAAUAAAGAGUUUGUACGCGAUAGAAUCAGAUAAAAAGAGAUAGAAUAAACGCACGAACCAAAACUAAUAGUUAAAUUGUGGCGAAAAAUAUUUAAUUAAAUAAACUGUAGCGAUAUUUCACUUAUAACAUUUUCAAUUUGCCAUUUCAAAUUGGCAAUUUUGCUGAAUGUUUUGCAAAUCGAUUAUUAUUUGGUGCUUUUUCAAUUAGAUUACGUGGAAAACCCCAUAAAUUAGCUUCGAUCACGAAAAUAACAGACGCACAACAACACAAACAAUACCAAACCAAUUGCCAAACCCUGCCAAAUGCUGAUAAAUUUGCCACAUUGAAAACAUACACAGUCAUUUGUCGUGCGGGUGUUCAGCGAUAUUAUAAAAAUAAAAGCAGCUUGUAUGAAAAACGGACAGAGGUCAUAUCACAUUGUUCUAAAUAAAAAUUUCAACAAUUUUAAUCGACGAAACGCAGCGUCAACAAACUGCAACGUGAGUGAGAAGAGAAUACAGGGGAAAGAAGACAAAAACAGUAAAAAAAAGAGAACGAAACAAGUGAUCAAAACAUACAUUCCAAUGGACAAAAUGAAAUCACAACACGGCAUAAAGUUGGCUAGCAACAACGGAAGCAGCCGGCACAAUGUUGCUACAACAAUAACAACUGAAAACAAUGCACACGGAAAAGCGAUUGCUUUUCGCAACUGUGCGCAUUUUUUCAAUUUGAUCGCGACCAUUUUAUUCGCAACGAUUAUGAUUGUCAAUGUUCGGCAUUCAUGCGGAUUAAUUGAAAUUCAAACAGAAAAGGAAAAACACGUGCGAACUAUCGAUGUGCAGGCUGUUGAAGGGAACCGAAUAUCUUUGCCGUGUCCGCUAAUAGCCCCGUCCAGAGAUAAAGUCUACAUGGUUCUGUGGUUUCGUGACGAUGCCGGCAUACCACUUUACAGCUUUGAUGUACGUGGACGACCGUUGAACGAUGCUCAACAUUGGUCAGCACCAGAAACAUUUGGGUCACGGGCUCGAUUUAAUGCAGAUGUUGAUCCGGCUACAUUAGAUAUUAAGAAUAUUAAACGUCACGAUCAAGGCAUUUAUCGAUGUCGUGUGGAUUUCCGAACCAGCCAGACACAGAGUUUCCGCUACAAUUUAACCAUUAUAAUUCCACCCGAGUAUCCAUUAGUAUUGAAUCGAUGGGGUCAUCAAUUGAACGGAACAAUACUUGGUCCUAUGGAAGAAGGAGACGACAUUGUGUUAACAUGCCGAGUUACUGGUGGUCGACCGCAACCUCAAGUUCGAUGGCUUGUAAAUGGUGUACUUGUCGACGAUCAAUACGAACACAAUACAGGCGAUGUAAUUGAAAAUCGACUUUUGUGGCCAGCUGUUCAACGGUCGGAUCUCAACGCGAUAUUCACUUGUCAAGCCGUAAAUACAAUUCUUGUUGAACCCAAAGAAAAUAGCUACAUGCUGGACUUGCACCUGAAACCAUUGACCGUGGACAUUUUAGAAACUCCACCACAAUUAGUUGCCGAACGACGAUACGAAAUAAGAUGCGAAAGUAGCGGAUCUCGACCGAAUGCCAUCAUAACAUGGUACAAGGGAAAGCGUCAACUGCGAAGGACAAAGGAUGAGACAGUCAACACAACAAGUCGCUCGGAAUUAAGUUUCGUGCCAUCAACUGAGGAUGAUGGAAAAUCGAUAACAUGCCGUGCUGAAAAUCCAAAAGUAACAGGACUAUUUCUGGAAACAACGUGGAAAUUAAAUGUUGUCUAUCCACCGAUUGUAACAUUGCGCCUGGGAUCAACAUUAUCGGACAACAUCAAAGAAGGCGAUGACGUGUACUUCGAGUGCUUGGCGGUGGCUAAUCCCCAAUGGCGAAAAUUGUACUGGUUACACGAUGGAGUUGUUUUAACGCACAAUGCAAGCGCUCGUGUUAUUCGAUCCAAUCAAAGUUUAGUGUUGCAACGCGUCACAAGGCAUUCGGCUGGAAACUAUUCAUGCAGCGCAAUAAAUGCUGAAGGCGAAACUGUUUCUAAUCAGCUCGAACUGCGCGUCAAAUAUGCUCCACUUUGUGUCAGCGAUAAGGUUGUGAUUGUCGGUGCAUUUCGAAAUGAGAAUCUCAACAUUUACUGUGAAGUGCAAGCUGAUCCACCUCCAAGAUCAUUUCGUUGGAAAUUCAAUAACUCGGGAGAAACACUUGACGUGGGCAAGGAACGUCAUCAUCGCAACGGAUCAACAAGCGUUUUGCAGUAUACACCAGUCACAGAUCAAGAUUACGGAACUUUAUCAUGCUGGGGACAAAACGAAGUCGGCAUUCAGAGUCAACCAUGUGUUUUCCAAAUUGUAUUAGCAAGUCUUCCUUCGGCUGUACGCAACUGCACCUAUAGCAACCAAACGCAGAUUUCCGUUGAAAUUCAUUGCAUUGCUGGCUAUGAUGGAGGUUUGCCGCAGUAUUUUGUGCUGGAAUUGGUUUCAACGCAAACGGGACGCGUACGAUUUAACCUUACCAAUUCGGAGGAGCCAUACUUUUUGGUUGAAUCAUUGGAAGCAUUGCAUUCGUUCGAUAGCGUUGAAGAUCGUUCAUUUCGAGUGGUUAUCUAUGCAUUGAAUCAAAAAGGUCGAAGUCCAAAGGUUAUACUCAAGGAUUUGUUGAUUGGCGAUCGAGACCAUCAUCCAAACUCUGUGGAAAAUGGUGCAAUGCAACUGUCACCGAUAUUCUUUGGUAUUUUAUUGACAAUCUUAUGUCUGAUGUCGUACUGUGUUGUUCGCAUUUUAUGGAAGCGGUCACAGCAACACAAACCCGACGAUGUCACAGAUAGCUCCAAGCAAUCGAGCAGUUUACUGUGUACAAGUGUUGUCGGUAAUACGAAUGGAACAACCAACAAUGCCAAUCACACGGAUACGAUAACAAAGCAGAAGUACUCAAAAUCCAGCCCACGAUGGCAAUAUAAUAAUAGUGGCAACAAGGACAUUAAGGCUGCAACCGAAUUACUCGAAGAUGAACGUGAUCCAGACGUCAUUCCGGCACAAUUUUCCACCAACGAUAUAUCACUUAGUAAUUACAAAACAGAAUGGUCGGACGAACCAUAUUAUGACAUUAAAUAUUCUGGUCAUGAAAAUCGCCCGAAAAAUUUACUGCUAAAAUCUGUAACAACAAAUGUUCCAUCCCAAGAUUUAAUACUAGGUUCAUACUUUACGAAUAGUAAUAACAGUUGCAGCAGCACAACAACAACUGGAACAAUAAAACCAACAUCGACAGCAAUGGUCACUGCAGUCGCAAUGGGACUACCGACUACGACAACAACAGCAGCAGCAGCUUCAGCGAAUGCAACAUCAAUCGAUUUAGAUAUUAAUGUUCACGCUAUUAAAAAUAUGUUAAUGGCAACACGUGUGCCCGAAAGUUGUGUAUAAAUCACUCAAUGCGCCCAAGUUACUGCGCUGCCAACUGUGAAUCCAGAUGAAACAAAACAGAAACUAUAUAUAUACAUCUAUGUGUUACAAAUUGUGUGAGAGAAAGAGAGCGAGAGCGAUAAAGAGCACAUCCAGAAUUUUAAUGUGAAUUAGUGAAAUUGGAACGCACUGAACGCGCUCAACGGGUUUGCGGCGCGGUGAGAGUAUCGCAUUUGUACAGAGGUGCAAGGAGAAAUCGAGAUAAAUUCGUGAACAAAUGGAAUGGAGCAAAGAUUUGAACUAAAUGCAAGACACUCAAUGAAGCGCGGCAAGACAACAAUAGACUUGGGAAGAAUUGAUAGAAGCACAACUGUCGUAAUCACAACACACAAUGAAUUUCAUAUCUGGGGUAUUCAUCUAAAGCGCCAUAAAUGGCCAACAAAAGGGAAACGUGAACCGCUUUUGCGAGCGUGUUUUUGGCGGAGCGCAUUCAAACGAAUGAGAUUUUGAAUAUUUUAAAUAGCCAACGUUGGUUUAUUUUAUAAAACCCCCAAAAAUAAAAUCAUUUAUUAUUAUUAUUUACUUCGGAUCCAAAGCACGGAUUUGAGCUCAGCAAAGCAUACUAACGAAUUAUUUUCAUUGUGGUAUUUAUAUAAACAUGUUUGAAUUUUUCGACAAGAUAACACCGUAAUGACGACCAUUUCAAAAUCAAAGGAUACAUCUCUUUUUUUCCACAUCGACAAGAUGAACCAUCAUUAUUUCCAUUCUAUUUUUAUUUUAUUUUUGAAAAUGGCAGCGAUAUCGCGUACAUAUAUGAGAAAAAACCACAUUUAGCUUCAACAUUCCCAAACAAAACGAAAUCAAAUUGCAAAAUCCACGGUAAUAUUUCUUAUGUGCAAAAUUGUGACGUAAUCGGUGAAAAGUCAUUAUAAACGUACAUUCAACCCGAACGAAAUUCGGUCGAAAAAUGGAUACAUAUCUUUCAACUUAAAAUGGAUUUAAAGUUCUCGCACCGCUUCAGUUGACUGACAUCGCUUGGAAUGAAUUGUGCUUUCCUUUUUCGAAUGGAAACAAAGUUCAUUUUUCGUAAGAGAGAAAGAUAGAGAGAGAGAGAGAGAGAGAGAGAGAGAGAAGAAAACAUUUGCGGAGAUAUGAUGUAUUACUUUAUUUCUCCAAAUAAAAAUGUAUACACACCGAAAAAAGUUUGGAUAGCUCUUUUUCCGGAACGGUAAUUUAUUGCUCAAAACCGAUUUAUUCCAAGUGCCAAUGAGCCGAUCUUGUCUCGAAAGUGUAUUAGAGAAGACGCUGACGACGAGCGGCCGAUUUGUUCAAAGGAAUUUUGGUUCAGAUUUUCAUGAAUAUCGACAUGUUUCGUAAACAAAACCACAACCAAUGUUGUAGCCAUGUCAAUUCAAAUGUUCAUGUUGACUCAACAGUAAUCACCUUUGAGGGGCCGAUGGUUAUUGAAUCACACUUACAUUGAACUACUUAAUAAAUAACACCGAAUUGCGUCUAUUCAAAAUAUCAAAAUCCGAUUUCAAUACAUAUGAACAACAUUGUAUAACAACUGCUAUAUGAAAUCAUGCCGAUCGAAAGUGAGGCAAAUUAUGCAAAGUGAAGAGAGUUGUUCUAAAAACUUAUAUAGUCAGUUCAGUUUAUCUCUCAAUUCGUCUGUUUGGUUUAUUUGCUAUAAUAAUUUUCGAAUUCGAAAAGUGAAUGCGAAAAUUGCACACAAAUUAUCCAAAUGGAGAUGACUCCAUAUAUACAUAUAUAUGAAGCUAUCGACACUCUUUCGUUUGCAUCCGGUAAUUUUAACUUGAUCGCAUUUAUGUCGGGUGAAGUCGAUGGUAAGAAUAUUUCCCAGUGUAGUUCAAACUCAAUAUAUCAGAAAUGUUCGUUUUGGCCAACCGCUACGGUCAUAAUUCUCUCACUGCAUACAAAAUUCAAUAUUCCAUUGCAUGGCAUUGCAUAUUGUCGUGUCCAAGUAUGGCAAAAGUUGCAUUCAAUGCUGAAGCGGCUGCGAAACGCUUCGGUAUAAUUGAAUUGUGCACUUUAUUUUCGCAAUUGCAACAGAAUGUGAGUGUGUAAGUGUGUGUGUGAGAGAGAGAGAGAGUGCACACAAAAUUCUUUCUCUCAUCCUGGAUUUAUGUGUCAGCAAUUAACAGACGAACUUUAUCAUAUUAAAUAGGAAUUUAUUGGGUGCUGCAUUGUAAGGAUUUCGACCAAACUUGAAAUGCAUUUCGACGCUUUCCGAAACAAGAAAACUAAUUGACAAAAAGUAUGUAGUAGCUGUUGACCAAGUUUCAAUGCACAACACUUACUUAUUUUAUUCUUUGAACGAAGAGUUCAUCACGACGCUAUUCAUCCCGAAAUUGCUGACAAAAAAAACAGCAACAAAUACAAAAACUGUAAAUUCAUGGAAAACUUUACACACUACAUGCCCACACACACAUACACACUCUAUAGAAUGAAGAAUUUUACCAGAAAAUACUAAAAUAAAUACAGAGCAAUACAAGAAAAAAAUCAAUGGAAAAAGUUGAGACAAUUCGUUCAUUUGUCAUUGUCAUCGUAUGUUUGCUACAACAUCUCUAAGUAAACAAACAUUGCAUGCACACACACACAGCUUUUAGCCAAGAAAACGCAAUAGAGAAUGUCAAGUGAAUUUGUGAUAAUCACAUACAACACAUGUAAACAAACAUUGUACCGAACCAUUGCAGCAGCCGAAUGAUGAACGCAUUUUCAUUCGAAACUUGUACGGGGAGCGGAAGGGGAUUGAUGAAGAAAAACAAUAAGAAAACAAAUGGUUUCUUAUGCGUAGCUAGAUUAGCUACUGCAAAGCAAACGUUUUGUAGGAGUAAACACAAAAAAAGAGAAAUAAAUAAAUUAUCAAGAGCCAAAAAAAUACAGACACGCACAAUGAUAAACAAAAACAUUCGUAAAAUUCACAUAUUGUCACGAGAACCGACUCAACACAUUCAUAUCAAAAACCGGAAAAAUAAGCCAUAUCGAUUCAUAUAUCAAUCUUUCGAUAAAUAAAUUAUUAAAAAAAAAAAAACAAAUGGUCAUGAAAUUUUGAGAACCCAAAUUACACUCACAUACAGAACUAAAUGAUAAAAAAAACGAAUUAAAAGAAGAAGAAAAAAGCUGAAAUCAUUUUAAAGAAAAAAAGCAGAAAUAAUAUUUGAAAUUGAAUUUUUUCCCUUCGAAUUGUUGUUAGUGUUAAAUAAUUCAAGAUAUAUACAAAACAAGAACUAUCAAAACGAAUGAAUUUUUAUUUUACCAUAGUAACUAAGCUAGAUAUUAAGAAGAGAGAAAAAAAAAAUUCCGUUUCAAGUACAUUUGUAAAUAUUUAAAUUAAGUGAACCGUUUUUGUCAAUAUAAGAAAGAAAGAAUUUUGUGCGUGUGCGGGGUACGAAGAAAGCUUAGUUCGUAAUAAUAUCAACUCAAAUUAAGUUUUAAUAAACGUGUAAAAAUACAAUUUAGCUAACGUUAGACUUAUUGGGAGUGAGCCAUAUCAUAGAUUUGCGAGGGAGAAUCGAGUGGUUCACAAUUUUAUUGGCAUAGAUGACAAUAGAUCGUAGAAAAUUGUACAUUGCGCAAAUGGACAUGCGAUCGAUACACACAUAUAUAUUUAUGAAUGUGAUUCCAAUAGACACAGAGUUCUAUGUUUUUGUGAAUGAUUUAUGACCGAUAUUUUUUCCUCUCUCCUUUGAUGGUGAUUCAAACCCAAAAUGAUAUAUGAAUAUGUUGUUAAACUGCCAAUGAUUGAUUGUUUAUUAUAAGACUAUUAUUGAAAAUAAAUACGAAAUCACCAAUAACGAAUCGCAUUCACAAUGCGACGAUAAAAAACAACCCAAUAUCCUCUUGGCGAUAUGAAAACUGAUGCAUUGUGAUGCAGAAUGAGUGAAAAAUCAACAACCAAAUAAAAUUUACAAAUAAAAAAAUCAUAUCCACUUUUCAUGUAAUUAAAACGUAAAACAACAACAACAACAACCAAAAUUGAUAGAGAUUGAAAUUUGUAUUUUAAAAUCAACUAUUUAUCGACUACUAUUAUUAUCAUGGAAAAUGGACGUUUCUUAAUUGUUUGAAGAAUCGACAACAUUAAAAAAAAAAGAAAAACACAAAUUAUUGAGACAAACAAAUUCCAGCUAUUAUAUAGAUUUAUUGUACUAUUAAAUGUAUUAUUAUCAACGUGACGGUGAAAAUGGGCCGAAACACAUAUUAUCAUAUUAGCAACCAUUGAUGAUCACAGUGUCAGAGCGCCCGAAAACCCAAUCAAAUACACUCUAGCAUCAAUUUUAAUUAUAAGAAGAAAAACACAGCCAUUGUGAACAUUACAUACAAACAGAUGCAACGGCAGAUGCAAAUAAAAUUCCAUAUAAAACAAAAA